RNAcentral lists this ribosomal RNA (497 nucleotides) under uncultured bacterium. RNAcentral describes it as "partial 16S ribosomal RNA". It matches the Rfam family "Bacterial small subunit ribosomal RNA", at positions 28 to 507 of the family's 1533-position model. The record is from RNAcentral.
GAUGAACGCUGGCGGCGUGCCUAAUACAUGCAAGUCGAGCGAACGGACGAGAAGCUUGCUUCUCUGAUGUUAGCGGCGGACGGGUGAGUAACACGUGGAUAACCUACCUAUAAGACUAGGAUAACUUCGGGAAACCGGAGCUAAUACCGGAUGAUAUUUUGAACCGCAUGGUUCAAAAGUGAAAGACGGUCUUGCUGUCACUUAUAGAUGGAUCCGCGCUGCAUUAGCUAGUUGGUAAGGUAACGGCUUACCAAGGCAACGAUGCAUAGCCGACCUGAGAGGGUGAUCGGCCACACUGGAACUGAGACACGGUCCAGACUCCUACGGGAGGCAGCAGUAGGGAAUGUUCCGCAAUGGGCGAAAGCCUGACGGAGCAACGCCGCGUGAGUGAUGAAGGUCUUCGGAUCGUAAAACUCUGUUAUUAGGGAAGAACAGAUGUGUAAGUAACUGUGCACAUCUUGACGGUACCUAAUCAGAAAGCCACGGCUAACUACGUG